GCCAUAUUCCACUGUCCUGAGCAACUUUUUGUCCUUUCUUAUUUAUCUAUCAUUUAAGCAUAAAUGUCAAUCUAUCCUUAAAAGGAAUACAUAAGGAAAUGUUACCUUUAUUAAUUUAUUUUAUUUUAAUUUCUAAUUUUUGUUUUUUGUUAAAAUAAUAUUACUUCUAUAAUGAAUCUACUUCAGCUAGUUCUCACUCAAACAUGUCACCUGGAUCCACAAAUUGUCUACCUUAAUACCUGCAUGACCCUUAACAUUAAUUUAUGCUGUUGGCUUUCACUUU
RNAcentral lists this unclassified non-coding RNA (283 nucleotides) under Hevea brasiliensis (rubber tree). Lineage: Eukaryota; Viridiplantae; Streptophyta; Magnoliopsida; Malpighiales; Euphorbiaceae. The record is from RNAcentral.